GGGUUGUGAGGUUAAGCGACUAAGCGUACACGGUGGAUGCCCUGGCAGUCAGAGGCGAUGAAGGACGUGCUAAUCUGCGAUAAGCGCCGGUAAGGUGAUAUGAACCGUUAUAACCGGCGAUUUCCGAAUGGGGAAACCCAGUGUGACUCGUCACACUAUCAUUAACUGAAUCCAUAGGUUAAUGAGGCGAACCGGGGGAACUGAAACAUCUAAGUACCCCGAGGAAAAGAAAUCAACCGAGAUUCCCCCAGUAGCGGCGAGCGAACGGGGAGGAGCCCAGAGCCUGAAUCAGCAUGUGUGUUAGUGGAAGCGUCUGGAAAGGCGCGCGAUACAGGGUGACAGCCCCGUACACAAAAGCGCAUGUGCUGUGAGCUCGAUGAGUAGGGCGGGACACGUGGUAUCCUGUCUGAAUAUGGGGGGACCAUCCUCCAAGGCUAAAUACUCCUGACUGACCGAUAGUGAACCAGUACCGUGAGGGAAAGGCGAAAAGAACCCCGGCGAGGGGAGUGAAAAAGAACCUGAAACCGUGUACGUACAAGCAGUGGGAGCACCCUUUGGGGUGUGACUGCGUACCUUUUGUAUAAUGGGUCAGCGACUUAUAUUCUGUAGCAAGGUUAACCGUAUAGGGGAGCCGCAGGGAAACCGAGUCUUAACCGGGCGUUAAGUUGCAGGGUAUAGACCCGAAACCCGGUGAUCUAGCCAUGGGCAGGUUGAAGGUUGGGUAACACUAACUGGAGGACCGAACCGACUAAUGUUGAAAAAUUAGCGGAUGAUCUGUGGCUGGGGGUGAAAGGCCAAUCAAACCGGGAGAUAGCUGGUUCUCCCCGAAAGCUAUUUAGGUAGCGCCUCGUGAACUCAUCUCCGGGGGUAGAGCACUGUUUCGGCUAGGGGGCCAUCCCGGCUUACCAACCCGAUGCAAACUGCGAAUACCGGAGAAUGUUAUCACGGGAGACACACGGCGGGUGCUAACGUCCGUCGUGAAGAGGGAAACAACCCAGACCGCCAGCUAAGGUCCCAAAGUCAUGGUUAAGUGGGAAACGAUGUGGGAAGGCCCAGACAGCCAGGAUGUUGGCUUAGAAGCAGCCAUCAUUUAAAGAAAGCGUAAUAGCUCACUGGUCGAGUCGGCCUGCGCGGAAGAUGUAACGGGGCUAAACCAUGCACCGAAGCUGCGGCAGCGACACUGUGUGUUGUUGGGUAGGGGAGCGUUCUGUAAGCCUGUGAAGGUGGCCUGUGAGGGUUGCUGGAGGUAUCAGAAGUGCGAAUGCUGACAUAAGUAACGAUAAAGCGGGUGAAAAGCCCGCUCGCCGGAAGACCAAGGGUUCCUGUCCAACGUUAAUCGGGGCAGGGUGAGUCGACCCCUAAGGCGAGGCCGAAAGGCGUAGUCGAUGGGAAACGGGUUAAUAUUCCCGUACUUGGUGUUACUGCGAAGGGGGGACGGAGAAGGCUAUGUUGGCCGGGCGACGGUUGUCCCGGUUUAAGCGUGUAGGCUGGUUUUCCAGGCAAAUCCGGAAAAUCAAGGCUGAGGCGUGACGACGAGGCACUACGGUGCUGAAGCAACAAAUGCCCUGCUUCCAGGAAAAGCCUCUAAGCAUCAGGUAACACGAAAUCGUACCCCAAACCGACACAGGUGGUCAGGUAGAGAAUACCAAGGCGCUUGAGAGAACUCGGGUGAAGGAACUAGGCAAAAUGGUGCCGUAACUUCGGGAGAAGGCACGCUGACACGUAGGUGAAGUGAUUUACUCAUGGAGCUGAAGUCAGUCGAAGAUACCAGCUGGCUGCAACUGUUUAUUAAAAACACAGCACUGUGCAAACACGAAAGUGGACGUAUACGGUGUGACGCCUGCCCGGUGCCGGAAGGUUAAUUGAUGGGGUCAGCGCAAGCGAAGCUCCUGAUCGAAGCCCCGGUAAACGGCGGCCGUAACUAUAACGGUCCUAAGGUAGCGAAAUUCCUUGUCGGGUAAGUUCCGACCUGCACGAAUGGCGUAAUGAUGGCCAGGCUGUCUCCACCCGAGACUCAGUGAAAUUGAACUCGCUGUGAAGAUGCAGUGUACCCGCGGCAAGACGGAAAGACCCCGUGAACCUUUACUAUAGCUUGACACUGAACAUUGAGCCUUGAUGUGUAGGAUAGGUGGGAGGCUUUGAAGUGUGGACGCCAGUCUGCAUGGAGCCGACCUUGAAAUACCACCCUUUAAUGUUUGAUGUUCUAACGUGGACCCGUAAUCCGGGUUGCGGACAGUGUCUGGUGGGUAGUUUGACUGGGGCGGUCUCCUCCUAAAGAGUAACGGAGGAGCACGAAGGUUGGCUAAUCCUGGUCGGACAUCAGGAGGUUAGUGCAAUGGCAUAAGCCAGCUUGACUGCGAGCGUGACGGCGCGAGCAGGUGCGAAAGCAGGUCAUAGUGAUCCGGUGGUUCUGAAUGGAAGGGCCAUCGCUCAACGGAUAAAAGGUACUCCGGGGAUAACAGGCUGAUACCGCCCAAGAGUUCAUAUCGACGGCGGUGUUUGGCACCUCGAUGUCGGCUCAUCACAUCCUGGGGCUGAAGUAGGUCCCAAGGGUAUGGCUGUUCGCCAUUUAAAGUGGUACGCGAGCUGGGUUUAGAACGUCGUGAGACAGUUCGGUCCCUAUCUGCCGUGGGCGCUGGAGAACUGAGGGGGGCUGCUCCUAGUACGAGAGGACCGGAGUGGACGCAUCACUGGUGUUCGGGUUGUCAUGCCAAUGGCACUGCCCGGUAGCUAAAUGCGGAAGAGAUAAGUGCUGAAAGCAUCUAAGCACGAAACUUGCCCCGAGAUGAGUUCUCCCUGAGACUUAGAGUCUCCUGAAGGAACGUUGAAGACGACGACGUUGAUAGGCCGGGUGUGUAAGCGCAGCGAUGCGUUGAGCUAACCGGUACUAAUGAACCGUGAGGCUUAACCUUACAACGCCAAAG
RNAcentral lists this ribosomal RNA (2924 nucleotides) under Salmonella enterica subsp. enterica serovar Senftenberg. Its description in RNAcentral is "23S ribosomal RNA". It matches the Rfam family "Bacterial large subunit ribosomal RNA". Lineage: Bacteria; Pseudomonadati; Pseudomonadota; Gammaproteobacteria; Enterobacterales; Enterobacteriaceae. RNAcentral also lists the same sequence under 3 other names. The record is from RNAcentral.